AAGACAUAGUGUAUCAUUCCACUUAUCUGAGGUGUCUAAAGUCAAAUUCAGGGGCCGGGCGUGGUGCUUCACGCCUGUAAUCCCAGCACUUUGGGAGGCCGAGGCAGGCGGAUCACUUGAGGUCAGGAGUGCGAGAACAGCCUGGCCAACAUGGCAAAACUCUGUCUCUACUAAAAAUAGAAAAAUUAGCUGGGCAUGGUGGUGCACACCUGUAAUCCCAGCUACUCAGGUAGCUGAGGCAUGAGAAUUGCUUGAACCUGGGAGGCAGAGGUUGCAGUGAGUCGAGAUCACGCCACUGCACUCCAGCCUGGAUGACAGCAAGAUUGUCAAAACAAAAAAUAAAAAUAAAGUCAAAUUCAAAGAAACAGUAGAAUGAUGGUUACCAGAGGCUGGGGGAAGGAAGCUGGAGGAAGGGGAGUUUUGUUUAAUGGGUACAGAGUUUCAGUUUUGCAAAAUAAAAAACUUUUGGAGGUCGGGCAUGGUAGCUCGUGCCUGUAAUCCCAGCACUUUGGGAGGCCAAGGAUGGCGGAUCAUGAGAUCAGGAAUUCAAAACCAGCCUGGCCAAUAUGGUGAAACUCCGUCUCUACUAAAAAUACAAAAAUUAGCCAGGCGUGGUGGUGGGUGCCUGUAAUCCCAGCUACUUGGGAGGCUGAGGCAGGAGAAUCACUUGAACCCAGGAGGCAGAGGUUGCAGUGAGCCAAGAUUGUGCCACUGCACUCCAGCCUGGGCGACAGAGCGAGACUCCAUCUCAAAAAACAAACAAAAACUUGGAGAUCUGUUUCACAACAAUAUGAAUAUAUGUAACACUACUGAACUGUAUGCUUAAAAAUAGUUAAGAUGGUAAAUUUUAUGUGUUUUUUACCACAAUAAAAACCAAACAAAACAAGGCAUGAUGAUUCAUGCCUGUAAUUCCAGCACUUUAGGAGACCAAGGUGGGAGGAUCACUUGAGCCCAAGAGUUCAAGACCAGCCUGGGCAGUGUGGCAAGACCCAAUCUCUCAUUAAAUAAAUAAUAGUAACCAAAUAAUAACCAAACAAAAAAAUAACCACCACUUUUCACACUCACCAUGGCAAAAUUUAAAAACCUAACAAUUCCAAGUGUUGUCAAGGCUAUAGGACAACUGCUGGUGAGAGUGCAAAUUGGUAUAACCACUUUGAAAAAAAAGUUUGGCAUUAUGUAUGAAACUUGAGCAUAACAUAUACUUUAUAACCCAGUAAUACCUCUACUAUGUAUAUACUCAACAGAAAUGCAUACAUAUGUGUAACAACAUGUAUAAAAAUGUUUAUAGUGGCAUUUCUCGUUAUAGCCCCAAACUGGAUACCACCCACAUGCCCAUCAUCAGUAGAAUGGAUAAAUAAAUUGUUGUGUAUGCAUGCAAUGGGACUACACUGCAACGAAAAUGAAUGAACUACUGCUACAGGCAACCUGGAUGAAUCUCACAAACAUGAUGUUGAGCGAAAGGAGCCAGACAUAAAAGAAUGCAGACUGUAUGAUUCCAUUUUUGUGAAGUUCAAAAACAGGCAAAAACUAACCUAUGGUGUCAGGAUAGUGGUUACCUUUGGGGAGGAGGGUGGGUAAUGGGAAAAGGGGCACAAGGGGAGGAUCUUUUGAGGUGCUAAUAAGGCUUUAUCUCUUCACCUGGUGGUGGAAACUCGUGUGUCUACUUUGUGAGAAUUGGGUUGUGCACUUAAAACUGGUGUGUAUGUAUGCUGUUCUUCAAUAAAAAAAAUUUUUUUAAUCACGGCUUAUCAGGAUUCAGCUGCCCAUUAGACACCUUUCUGUGUCUUUCUCUCUCUCUCUCUCCAGCUCUUCACAGAGGUCCUCCAGGAUCAAGGGGACCACUGAUUCCACCACUGCUGAGUCUCCCACCUCCUCCUUGGGGUAGAGGCCCAAUUUGGAGAGGCCUUGGCCCCAGGUCUAGCCCAUAUGGUCGUGGUUGGUGGGGAGUCAAUGCAGAACCUCCUUUUCCGGGGCCAGGCCAUGGGGGUCCCACCAGGGGAAGCUUUCACAAAGAACAGAGAAACCCUCGAAGGCUCAAAAGCUGGUCUCUUAUCAAGAAUACCUGCCCGCCCAAGGAUGACCCCCAGGUUAUGGAAGACAAAUCCGACCGCCCUGUCUGCCGACAUUUUGCCAAAAAGGGCCACUGUCGAUAUGAGGACCUCUGUGCCUUCUACCACCCAGGCGUCAAUGGACCUCCUCUGUGAGACUGUGCCUUCCCAUCCAGGCUGGAAGGAGCUGUCUGUGACCUAGCGGCCAUUUAUUUCUCUGUAGCCCUAUGAUGGCUACUGUGAGGCUCUUCUAACACCCUCAGUCAGUGACACACCCACCCCAUCCACCACCUCCCCUGUGUGGGGUCCAGAGUUGUGUUGCAUCACUGGUGCGCGGUAUACGCGCUUUCUUCUGAUCCAGCCUGUAGAGACUCGCCUUUGGGACCCAUCUUUGCUUCCUUUCAGUUGCCUCCUGGAUCUUCUUUCCCAUCAUCAAAUGACUGCUGAACAGGAAACCUCUUUGGUGCUGUUUCUUGUGCAUCUGUCCACCUGUUCCCCAGUAUUGCCCUCAAUUCCUGAGAGCCCUGGAGUGGUUUCCUACCAUUCCCUUCUUUUAGCUGCUGUUUUAAGUCCUUUUUAUGUGACAUUCCCUACCCCCAAUGUUGUCAGCUGCUUGUGAAACUCAGCCAGGUUGUCUAACCUGGGGUCAAGUUUGGGUGACUGGUGCAGAGUUACUUCCUAAAAGGCCACUCUCCCUGCCUUUGGAUUUCAUAGUUUCUCUGUCAGUAGCAUGAUCCCCACCACUAUGGUCUAUUAUCACCGUGCUUUGUGAAACUGUGCAUCCCCUUGUAGCCUUUCUCAGUGUCCGUGGCAUUUUUGUGACUUUCCAGCACUAGAAUAAGUUUUCCUGCCAAAAUGAGUGAGGCGCUUGGUGCCCUCUGGACUUUCCCACUUCCCAACAUGGGAGAAUUGAGAACUUUCCAUCAGACUGCCUCCCUGGCCCUCCCCAUUCUUCUCCUGUUGGUUAUUCUGGGUCUGACACAGGCCCAUGACAUGUCUUACAAAGCCUCCAAUGGCUUUAUCCUACCUAGAUCCCUCCCAGCCCAUUUUAAUUAGACUGUGUCAUCGUGAGGCCACCAGUCCAUUCAUUUGAAUUCUGUGAAUCUCCACCUUGCCUAUCUUUGGGUGGAACCUGGACAGUACUGUCGCCCUCUUCCAACCCUCUUCCCCUACAUCCCUGGCACUGGUUGUUUUCUGUGAAAACAGCAGUGAACAGGUUCAGUUUUGAACUGGCCCUGAGGAAAUGGGUCAGGAGUUGUAUUGGCAAGAGGGAGGGAUGAGAGCCGUUGGAGAACUGAGAAUGAGGCUUUGUUUUGUUUUUUUCUUUUUAACUUUUUUUAUAUUAGUAAUAAAUGCAGUGGAAACCAGCAUUUUAUUUAA
This 3428-nucleotide small RNA is filed under the name Pongo abelii (Sumatran orangutan). RNAcentral's name for it is "retained intron". The record is from RNAcentral. Lineage: Eukaryota; Metazoa; Chordata; Mammalia; Primates; Hominidae.